AGCUGGCUGUGCAAGGAGAAUCUGAAUAGAGCCAAAGAAUCAGGCAUUGGUUGGUUUCACUGAGCAACUGAAGUUUUAGAAAGUUAAAGUUGUAUCCACAACUCCCCCCUGCCCCCACACACACCCUAGGGCUUUGCUUUAGUCCCCUGAACAAAGCCAUCAUUCUCUUUUUAAAGGCAGGUGAAACAGGGUUGCAUUGCUGUAUCUCAGCACCCACCACUGUACUUUCCAAGAUGUCUCAGUAUAACCAGUUUGGCACCACAGGGUUCUUCUGCUCAUGUUGUCUUCCUUUGUUUGGAUUGCUAGUUGGGAAAAUUGAUUUUUUUUUUUUUCCCAGAUUGAGUGAGGUAAACAAAACAUGAUGGGGCUGGACGAAGCCGGGGGAGACAUGACUUCAUCUUGCAACCCUGACAGUGUCAACUGAGAAAAAAACACAAUGUGGGAGUUGUGAGUUAAAUUUUAUUUGGAGCAAAAUAUGGGCUCUAAUCCAGGAGACAGCCUCUCAGAGAGCUCUGCGGAACUGCUCUGGAGGGAAGAUUAUGUGGUUUUUACAAAUUGAAGAUUUGUGACAAUGCCGAAUCAAGCAAGUCCAUCGAUACCGGUUUGCAAACAGCGUUUUCUCACCUUGCGUCUCCGUGUCUCCCGUUGGAUCUUAGUUAUCCAACCAGGGAUUGAACUUGCAGUGAAAAUGCUGAGUACUGAGCACUGGACAACCACAGAAAUCCCCUUUUUGCUAUUCUUAAAAUUUGCCAAAUUUGCUUCAGACUUGGUUCUUUAUUCUUGCUUCUCUCUUGUCCACGAUACUCCUGUUCAACUUGUUUUUAAUACUUGUACCCUCACUUCAAGAUUUGUUUUGUUGUUAUCUCUUCAGAGUGUAUUUCUCUGACUACCAUUUUAAAAAUAGAUACCUUUCAUUCUCUCACCUAAUCACAAUUUCCUUCCUUCCUUACUUUUUCUUCAUAGCAAAUGUUCCUACCUGGUAUAAUAAAUUCAUUUACCUAAAGCACCCUGCCUGUAACAUGCACUCCUGAAUUUUGUCUUUUUCAUAUGCAUCCCAAGUGACUAACAGGAUGCCUGGCACAUUCAAAAAACAUGUGUUGAAUGAGUUAAUAAAUGAUUUCCUAGUUUCUUAUGCAUCAGAUAGUUAGGAAAAUACCUACCCUGGAAAUCUCAUGUUUAUUUUUCCUGAGUGUUAAAUAAAAUAUUAUCUGUGUUG
Bubalus bubalis (water buffalo) is the source of this 1216-nucleotide long non-coding RNA. RefSeq lists it as uncharacterized. NCBI's taxonomy places the organism in Eukaryota, Metazoa, Chordata, Mammalia, Artiodactyla, Bovidae. The record is from RefSeq and is a predicted model, not a curated record. The transcript is spliced from 3 exons.